This 468-nucleotide ribosomal RNA is filed under the name uncultured bacterium. Its description in RNAcentral is "partial 16S ribosomal RNA". It matches the Rfam family "Bacterial small subunit ribosomal RNA", at positions 28 to 507 of the family's 1533-position model. The record is from RNAcentral.
GAUGAACGCUGGCGGCGUGCUUAACACAUGCAAGUCGAACGGAAAGGCCCAAGCUUGCUUGGGGACUCGAGUGGCGAACGGGUGAGUAACACGUGGGUGAUCUGCCCUGCACUUCGGGAUAAGCCUGGGAAACUGGGUCUAAUACCGGAUAGGACGAUGGUUUGGAUGCCAUUGUGGAAAGUUGUUGCGGUGUGGGAUGAGCUCGCGGCCUAUCAGCUUGUUGGUGGGGUAAUGGCCUACCAAGGCGUCGACGGGUAGCCGGCCUGAGAGGGUGUACGGCCACAUUGGAACUGAGAUACGGCCCAGACUCCUACGUGAGGCAGCAGUGGGGAAUAUUGCACAAUGGGCGGAAGCCUGAUGGAGCGACGCCGCGUGGGGGAUGACGGCCUUCGGGUUGUAAACUCCUUUCGCUAGGGACGAAGCGUUUUUGUGACGGUACCUGGAGAAGAAGCACCGGCUAACUACGUG